Molecule: ribosomal RNA, 499 nt
Filed under: Fusarium oxysporum
Lineage: Eukaryota; Fungi; Ascomycota; Sordariomycetes; Hypocreales; Nectriaceae
Description: eukaryotic LSU rRNA
Rfam family: 5.8S ribosomal RNA (bases 128-281)
Source: RNAcentral
CCCCUGUGACAUACCACUUGUUGCCUCGGCGGAUCAGCCCGCUCCCGGUAAAACGGGACGGCCCGCCAGAGGACCCCUAAACUCUGUUUCUAUAUGUAACUUCUGAGUAAAACCAUAAAUAAAUCAAAACUUUCAACAACGGAUCUCUUGGUUCUGGCAUCGAUGAAGAACGCAGCAAAAUGCGAUAAGUAAUGUGAAUUGCAGAAUUCAGUGAAUCAUCGAAUCUUUGAACGCACAUUGCGCCCGCCAGUAUUCUGGCGGGCAUGCCUGUUCGAGCGUCAUUUCAACCCUCAAGCCCUCGGGUUUGGUGUUGGGGAUCGGCGAGCCCUUGCGGCAAGCCGGCCCCGAAAUCUAGUGGCGGUCUCGCUGCAGCCUCCAUUGCGUAGUAGUAAAACCCUCGCAACUGGAACGCGGCGCGGCCAAGCCGUUAAACCCCCAACUUCUGAAUGUUGACCUCGGAUCAGGUAGGAAUACCCGCUGAACUUAAGCAUAUCAAUAG